RNAcentral lists this ribosomal RNA (434 nucleotides) under Asclepios shiranui. RNAcentral's name for it is "LSU rRNA". It matches the Rfam family "Eukaryotic large subunit ribosomal RNA", at positions 740 to 1161 of the family's 3401-position model. The record is from RNAcentral. Lineage: Eukaryota; Metazoa; Arthropoda; Insecta; Hemiptera; Gerridae.
ACGGGCGGACCCCCCGCACUCCCGCGGCGUCUCAGGCUCAUCGCGAGCCGAGGCGGACCUAGAGCGUUCACGUUGGGACCCGAAAGAUGGUGAACUAUGCCUGGCCAGGACGAAGCCAGGGGAAACCCUGGUGGAGGUCCGUAGCGGUUCUGACGUGCAAAUCGAUCGUCGGAGCUGGGUAUAGGGGCGAAAGACUAAUCGAACCAUCUAGUAGCUGGUUCCCUCCGAAGUUUCCCUCAGGAUAGCUGGCGCCCAGGUCGAGACGAGUCUCAUCUGGUAAAGCGAAUGAUUAGAGGCAUUGGGGUCGAAACGACCUCAACCUAUUCUCAAACUUUAAAUGGAUGAGAACCCCGGCUUGCUUGAUCCAAGUGAAGCUGGGGCUCGGAUCCGGGUGCCAAGUGGGCCAAUUUUGGUAAGCAGAACUGGCGCUGUGG